UACGGAGGGUGCGAGCGUUAUUCGGAAUAACUGGGCGUAAAGGGCACGCAGGCGGGCUUUUAAGUGGGAUGUGAAAUCCCCGGGCUUAACCUGGGAAUAGCAUUUGAGACUGGGAGUCUAGAGUACUUUAGUGAGGGGUAGAAUUCCACGUGUAGCGGUGAAAUGCGUAGAGAUGUGGAGGAAUACCGAAGGCGAAGGCAGCCUCUUGGGAAUGGACUGACGCUCAUGUGCGAAAGCGUGGGGAGCAAACAGG
This 253-nucleotide ribosomal RNA is filed under the name uncultured bacterium. RNAcentral describes it as "partial 16S ribosomal RNA". It matches the Rfam family "Bacterial small subunit ribosomal RNA", at positions 524 to 776 of the family's 1533-position model. The record is from RNAcentral.